GUUUAAAUUUGCAGGAAUUUGUUGUGUGGCAACUGGGAAGUGAUAGCGGAACUUGGGUUUUUAAGGGAUUUGGAGAGGUGGGUCAUCGGUAUUUUUGACUGAAAAUGGGUGUUUCACAGGCUGAUCAUAGUAGAAUGGAAGGGUGGUUAUAUCUUAUUCGUUCAAAUAGGUUUGGACUUCAGUAUUCACGAAAGCGGUACUUUAUUCUUCAGGAUCAGUUUCUUAAGAGCUAUAAAUCUGUACCAGUUCCUGAAAAUGAGGAUCCUAUUAGAAGUGCAGUUGUUGAUUCCUGCAUUCGUGUAACAGACAAUGGCAGAGAGAGCAUUCAAAGAAAAGUCUUUUUCAUUUUCACACUUUAUAACACCUCAAAUCAUAAUGAUCAGCUGAAGUUAGGAGCAAGCAGUCCCGAGGAAGCUGCAAGGUGGAUCCAGGCAGUUCAGGAAGCAGCUUUAAAGGUAGACGUGAACAGAGGAAAGGAAGUUGAUUUUUCAAGCAGUGGUUCGCAGUCUUUGAGGUUAAAUUGUUCCAACAAGUCUAAUCGUCUGAAUUCAAUUGAUUGGACUGUCUGUUCAUCCUCAGUUACAGAUGCUAUGACAUCUGAUGUUGUUGCACCCUCACCUUGGACAAUCUUUGGUUGUGAGAAUGGUCUUAGGCUCUUCAAGGAAGCUAAAGAUAG
This 676-nucleotide unclassified non-coding RNA is filed under the name Hevea brasiliensis (rubber tree). Lineage: Eukaryota; Viridiplantae; Streptophyta; Magnoliopsida; Malpighiales; Euphorbiaceae. The record is from RNAcentral.